RNAcentral lists this long non-coding RNA (2530 nucleotides) under Homo sapiens (human). Its description in RNAcentral is "LNC_000465". Lineage: Eukaryota; Metazoa; Chordata; Mammalia; Primates; Hominidae. The record is from RNAcentral.
GGCCUAUAAGUCUCACUCAAUUUUAUUGAAAAGUUUAAGACUUUAAAAGUUACAAAGUAGUAUUCGCCCUGCCUAUAUUAACCAUUAACAAGCAUUGUACUGUUAGUGCAGCUAAAGUAAUUAUAUCAGAAAAACAUAUCAAUUGUCAUUUUGUCCACCGGACAGUAUUGUAAGGAAAUGAUGCUGCAAGAAAAGCAGACAAAUAUGGACUUCCCAACAUAGGGACGUGAAGCAGGUGUAUUAAAAAUAAGGAUGCAUAUAAAACUAAGACACAAAAUGAAUCCCUGAGCUGAGUUUGCAUCCGAAAACAUCACGUUCACACUUCAUUUGGGUGAAAAUGAACAAGGACACUUCUCAUGGGCAACCACGGGGCUUUGGCUUCACACAGAUGUGAUCAAUAACGACAGUAGCGGGCUCCAAGAGUACAUUAAUCUCAGAAAAAAUAGUGGUAUAGUCUCCACAGGGAUUUGCUUCUCAGAUAAGUAGAACUAUGGCCUGCCAUGAAAUUGAGAGCUCAUGAAUAUAGAUGGUUGAGUGUAUCAGUCUUCAAAGCAUUUAAAACAUACUUUUGUUUUUGUUUUAUCAGUGCAAUUUGUUUUUGAAGACGCCGGAAAACUAUUUCAUUUAACCUGAGCAAUUAAAACGUGUCAAAUCACAGCUGUCACAGUUAGGUUUGAUAAAAUUAAUUGUUAGCAUCCUUAUUACUGGCACAGCUGUGAUAUUUCUGGAUUUGACUAUGCACCUGCUGCAGGAAAACAUGAUAAAAUGUCAUUUAGAUCUCUAACUACAAGACCGUUAGACUAGAGAGCUCUUUAAGGCAAGGACAUGAAAACUGCGUACUUUUAUACCUCGCUUAAGUCAGUGACAGAUUUACCAAUGACAACACAAUUUUAAAAUUCCAACACAUAUAUUACUUUGUCCUAUGAAGGGCAAAAAGUCAAUAUAUUUUAAAUUUUAAAAACAGAAUGGAUAUAAUGACCUUUUUACACAUCAGUGAUAUUUAAAAGACUUAAAGAGACAAUACUAUGGUUGAGACACUGGCUUCCUAUUCCAGCCCUAAUUAAAGAAAAAAUAGCUAGUAUGUUUCUAAUUGAAACUAGAGUGAACUGGGCAUCUUCAAAGUUAUCAUUUUCUUGGAUAUAAAAAAACAAAAGACCUGGGAAAGAAAAACAAGUGUUUUACAGAAAUGAAGCAAACACAUUUUCACAUGACAUAAUCAUUGACUUGGUGGUACACAGCUCAAGUCCAGCUUUCACUGAUAUUUCCUCAUUAGAUUAAUAAUUUUAUUAUAAAGCCUCCAAGGGGCAUCCAGGCCCCAAAUGAAGUCAAGAUGCUCCCAUUCCGGAAUGCUCUCAUGGAACACCAAGUUGGUGAUCUGAGUCAGUAAGAUAUUGACGUCGUAGACAUCUGCAAGCCAGUCGUGACCCCCGCUCCAGACUGCAGUCGGCACAAGCAUGUCCUUCACAUUGUAUGUGGGAGGAUAACUCUGGUUGUAAUGAAAAUAAUUCUUGGCACUGCUUCCCCAGUCAAAGGCUUGAAACUUUUGGAAUUUAACAGCCUGGCUCCAGUGUAACAUGUUUUGCACAGAAGUUCCAGCAGGAGAAUGUGUUGUAUAUACAUCCACUCUAGACAUAUUUAAAUUUCUCUCAUUAAAUCCACACAGAAGAAAACAGAGAUUUCCACAGAGCUCCUUCAGUAUGACAUGAGUGCAAACGUGGGUACCCAGCCACUUCAAAAACGCACUCUGGGGAAGAAAUUCUUUGUCUCCAAAUAAGUCCUUAAUGAGAUGAUCUGGUAAUCGUCCUAAUUUGGCCAUAGGGCUAGUACAGAAGGCGACGGAAGCCACAGGACCCAGGGCAAAAAACAUUUUAAUCCUUUUAGCCAGCUCAGGGAUCUGUGAAAAUGCUAUAAAACCUAUAGUGGUGCCUUGAGAAUGACCCACAUAAUACACUUGUUCUUGGCCAGUUUUAUUCAGAAUGAAGUUAAUGGAAGCUGGUAGGUCAUAUUUUGCCAUCUCAUCAUAACUGAAAGCCCAGAAUUCAUCCUGAGAAACUGAGAGUGUCUUAUGUUUCCGAGACCAGGUAUUUCCUCUGCUGUUGCCCAUCCACACGUCAAAACCAGCAUCAGCAAGAAUGAAGCCCAGGCUGCUGUUGGCAAGGUUUGUGACCCAGUUACUAGAAUCUGCCAGCAAGCCAUGUUGCAGGAAGACAACUGGUUUGGGACCUUUGUCAGAAUGGUUCUUCCUCCCAUGAGGAAUUCGGUUAAGGCACAGAAUAUAUCCAUCUUCUGUCUCAACUAGGUAUUCCUCACUAGGGAAUCCCCAGUAAGAGAUAAUUUCACUCACAUUCAUGUUUGUUUCAGGAUCCACAGCUGUCAGUUUCCCUCCAGACCCCUCAGAAUGCAGGGUCCAGAGAACCAAACAGACCACCAACCCCAAGAACCGCAUUUUCAUUCUGGCAGCGCCGCGGCGCCGGCACUCUCACCUGGAGCUGUCCUGCCGGGCCGCUGUCUCGAGUCGCAGUGCCAGCUC